This 465-nucleotide ribosomal RNA is filed under the name uncultured bacterium. Its description in RNAcentral is "partial 16S ribosomal RNA". It matches the Rfam family "Bacterial small subunit ribosomal RNA", at positions 28 to 507 of the family's 1533-position model. The record is from RNAcentral.
GACGAACGCUGGCGGCGUGCUUAACACAUGCAAGUCGAACGGAAAGGCCCUGCUUGCAGGGUACUCGAGUGGCGAACGGGUGAGUAACACGUGGGUGAUCUGCCCUGCACUUCGGGAUAAGCCUGGGAAACUGGGUCUAAUACCGGACAGGAGCCAUUUUUAGUGUGAUGGUUGGAAAGUUUUUUCGGUGUAGGAUGAGCUCGCGGCCUAUCAGCUUGUUGGUGGGGUAAUGGCCUACCAAGGCGGCGACGGGUAGCCGGCCUGAGAGGGUGGACGGCCACAUUGGGACUGAGAUACGGCCCAGACUCCUACGGGAGGCAGCAGUGGGGAAUAUUGCACAAUGGGCGCAAGCCUGAUGCAGCGACGCCGCGUGGGGGAUGACGGCCUUCGGGUUGUAAACUCCUUUCGCUAGGGACGAAGCUUUUUGUGACGGUACCUAGAUAAGAAGCACCGGCUAACUACGUG